RNAcentral lists this transfer RNA (89 nucleotides) under Omnitrophica bacterium RIFCSPLOWO2_12_FULL_50_11. RNAcentral describes it as "tRNA-Ser". It matches the Rfam family "tRNA". From Rfam's summary of the family: Transfer RNA (tRNA) molecules are approximately 80 nucleotides in length. Their secondary structure includes four short double-helical elements and three loops (D, anti-codon, and T loops). The record is from RNAcentral. Lineage: Bacteria; Pseudomonadati; Candidatus Omnitrophota.
GGAGGAAUGCCGGAGUGGCCGAACGGGCACGCCUGGAGAGCGUGUAGCCGGCGAAAGCUGGCUCCUGGGUUCGAAUCCCAGUUCCUCCG